RNAcentral lists this ribosomal RNA (757 nucleotides) under uncultured bacterium. RNAcentral's name for it is "bacterial SSU rRNA". It matches the Rfam family "Bacterial small subunit ribosomal RNA", at positions 94 to 823 of the family's 1533-position model. The record is from RNAcentral.
AGUGGCAAACGGGUGAGUAACGCGUAGACAACCUGCCGUAAAGAUGGGGACAGCAGUCCGAAAGGACUGCUAAUACCGAAUGUUGUGGAACUUCCGCAUGGGAGCUCCACUAAAGAUGGCCUCUACUUGUAAGCUAUCGCUUUACGAUGGGUCUGCGUCUGAUUAGCUAGUUGGUGGGGUAACGGCUUACCAAGGCGACGAUCAGUAGCCGGUCUGAGAGGAUGAACGGCCACAUUGGAACUGAGACACGGUCCAGACUCCUACGGGAGGCAACAGUGGGGAAUCUUCCGCAAUGGGCGCAAGCCUGACGGAGCAACGCCGCGUGAGUGAAGAAGGGUUUCGACUCGUAAAGCUCUGUUGUCGGGGACGAAUGUGAGGACGGCGAAUAGCCGUUUUCAAUGACGGUACCUGACGAGGAAGCCACGGCUAACUACGUGCCAGCAGCCGCGGUAAUACGUAGGUGGCGAGCGUUGUCCGGAAUUAUUGGGCGUAAAGGGAGCGCAGGCGGGAGAUCAAGUCUAUCUUAAAAGUGCGGGGCUCAACCCCGUGAGGGGAUGGAAACUGGUCUUCUUGAGUGCAGGAGAGGAAAGCGGAAUUCCUAGUGUAGCGGUGAAAUGCGUAGAUAUUAAGGAGGAACACCAGUGGCGAAGGCGGCUUUCUGGACUGUAACUGACGCUGAGGCUCGAAAGCGUGGGGGAGCGAACAGGAUUAGACAACCCCUGGUAGUCCACGCCGUUAAACGAUGAAUGCUAGGUGG